GUGGGGAAUAUUGGACAAUGGGGGGAACCCUGAUCCAGCCAUGCCGCGUGUGUGAAGAAGGCCUUUUGGUUGUAAAGCACUUUAAGCGAGGAGGAGGCUACCGAGAUUAAUACUCUUGGAUAGUGGACGUUACUCGCAGAAUAAGCACCGGCUAACUCUGUGCCAGCAGCCGCGGUAAUACAGAGGGUGCAAGCGUUAAUCGGAUUUACUGGGCGUGAAGCGCGCGUAGGUGGCCAAUUAAGUCAAAUGUGAAAUCCCCGAGCUUAACUUGGGAAUUGCAUUCGAUACUGGUUGGCUAGAGUAUGGGAGAGGAUGGUAGAAUUCCAGGUGUAGCGGUGAAAUGCGUAGAGAUCUGGAGGAAUACCGAUGGCGAAGGCAGCCAUCUGGCCUAAUACUGACACUGAGGUGCGAAAGCAUGGGGAGCAAACAGGAUUAGAUACCCGAGUAGUCC
Molecule: ribosomal RNA, 451 nt
Filed under: uncultured bacterium
Lineage: Bacteria
Description: partial 16S ribosomal RNA
Rfam family: Bacterial small subunit ribosomal RNA
Source: RNAcentral